ACAUGUACGGAAGAGAACAACAGGGCAGCCCCCAAGGAAUUAAAAACAAAAUCCUAAUGUUGCAAUCCUAUGUGCACCUAAUUCUAUUAGAAUUCUAUUUCACUUCUAAUUCCAUUAGGUUCCAAGGGGCUUACUCCCAAGCAAAUCCCUCUUUAGCCAUUCUCCCUCAUGUAAGGAGGAGACUGGAGACAAGUCCAUUCAUCCUGUCUGCUCCUUGCAUCCUGGUCUCUUGAUUCACCAUCUUCUGUGUACAGUGGUACCUUGGUUCUCAAACUUAAUCCAUUCCGGAAGUCCGUUCCAAAACCAAAGCGUUCCAAAACCAAGGUGCGCUUUCCCAUAGAAAGUAAUGCAAAAUGGAUUAUUCCGUUCCAGACUUUGAAAAACAACCCCUAAAACAGCAAUUUAGCAUGAAUUUUACUAUCUAACGAGACCAUUGAUCCAUAAAAUGAAAGCAAUAAACAGUGUACUGCAGUCACACAAUCAAUCAAUCAGGAGCUGAACUGGGUUCCACACAGUCACAAAAACAAAACAAAAAGAGCUGC
Molecule: non-coding RNA, 542 nt
Organism: Podarcis lilfordi (Lilford's wall lizard)
Lineage: Eukaryota; Metazoa; Chordata; Lepidosauria; Squamata; Lacertidae
Source: the annotation of a GenBank genome assembly